CCUACGGGAGGCAGCAGUGGGGAAUAUUGGACAAUGGGGGGAACCCUGAUCCAGCCAUGCCGCGUGUGUGAAGAAGGCCUUUUGGUUGUAAAGCACUUUAAGCGAGGAGGAGGCGCUCUAGGAUAAUACCCUAGAUGCGUGGACGUUACUCGCAGAAUAAGCACCGGCUAACUCUGUGCCAGCAGCCGCGGUAAU
This 195-nucleotide ribosomal RNA is filed under the name uncultured bacterium. Its description in RNAcentral is "partial 16S ribosomal RNA". It matches the Rfam family "Bacterial small subunit ribosomal RNA", at positions 338 to 524 of the family's 1533-position model. The record is from RNAcentral.